GAUGAACGCUGGCGGUAUGCUUAACACAUGCAAGUCGAACGGACUCUUCGGAGUUAGUGGCGGACGGGUGAGUAACGCGUGAGAAUCUGGCUUUGGGUUCGGGACAACCACUGGAAACGGUGGCUAAUACCGGAUGUGCCGAGAGGUAAAAGAGAAAUUGCCUGAAGAUGAGCUCGCGUCUGAUUAGCUAGUUGGUGAGGUAAAGGCUCACCAAGGCAGCGAUCAGUAGCUGGUCUGAGAGGAUGACCAGCCACACUGGGACUGAGACACGGCCCAGACGACUACGGGAGGCAGCAGUGGAGAAUUUUCCGCAAUGGGCGAAAGCCUGACGGAGCAAUACCGCGUGAGGGAAGAAGGCUCUUGGGUUGAAAACCUCUUUUCUUAGGGAAGAACAAAAUGACGGUACCUAAGGAAUCAGCAUCGGCUAACUCCGUG
RNAcentral lists this ribosomal RNA (435 nucleotides) under uncultured bacterium. RNAcentral's name for it is "partial 16S ribosomal RNA". It matches the Rfam family "Bacterial small subunit ribosomal RNA", at positions 28 to 507 of the family's 1533-position model. The record is from RNAcentral.